GAUGAACGCUGGCGGCAUGCCUAACACAUGCAAGUCGAGCGAACAGAUGAGGUUCUUGCUCCUCUGACGUGAGCGGCGGACGGGAGAGUAACAUGGGGAUAACCUAACUAGCAGACCAGGAUAACUUCGCCAAACCGGAGCUAAUACCGGAAAAUAUAUUGAACCUGAUGGGGCAAUAGCGUAUGACGCGCUUGCUGUCGCUUCAAGAGGGUCCCCCGCCGCAUCAGAGUGUUGGAAAGGUAACGGGUUACCAAGGCAACGAAGCGUAGACGACCCGAGGGGGUGAUCGGACGGUCUGGAACAGAGACACGAUCCAGACUCCGACGGGGAGCAGCAGUAGAGAAUCUUCCGCGAUGGGCGAGAGGCUGACGGAGCAACGGCGCGUGAGUGAUGAAGGUCUUAGGAUCGGAAAGCUCUGUUAUUAGGGAAGAACAAAUGUGUGAGUAACUAUGCAGGUAAUGACGGUACCUGAUCAAAAAGCCACGGCUAACUCCGUG
RNAcentral lists this ribosomal RNA (497 nucleotides) under uncultured bacterium. RNAcentral's name for it is "partial 16S ribosomal RNA". It matches the Rfam family "Bacterial small subunit ribosomal RNA", at positions 28 to 507 of the family's 1533-position model. The record is from RNAcentral.